RNAcentral lists this non-coding RNA (47 nucleotides) under Xyrichtys novacula (pearly razorfish). It matches the Rfam family "Histone 3' UTR stem-loop". Rfam says of the family: The mRNAs of metazoan histone genes lack a poly-A tail. 3' end processing occurs at a site between a highly conserved stem-loop (modelled by this family) and a purine rich region around 20 nts downstream (the histone downstream element, or HDE). The stem-loop is bound by a 31 kDa stem-loop binding protein (SLBP - also termed the histone hairpin binding protein, or HBP). Lineage: Eukaryota; Metazoa; Chordata; Actinopteri; Labriformes; Labridae. The record is from RNAcentral.
ACAAAGGCUCUUUUAAGAGCCACCCAACAACCUCAAGAGAGCAGAGU